RNAcentral lists this ribosomal RNA (555 nucleotides) under uncultured bacterium. RNAcentral describes it as "partial 16S ribosomal RNA". It matches the Rfam family "Bacterial small subunit ribosomal RNA", at positions 355 to 902 of the family's 1533-position model. The record is from RNAcentral.
UGGGGAAUUUUGGACAAUGGGCGAAAGCCUGAUCCAGCAAUGCCGCGUGUGUGAAGAAGGCCUUCGGGUUGUAAAGCACUUUUGUCCGGAAAGAAAUCCUUGGCUCUAAUACAGUCGGGGGAUGACGGUACCGGAAGAAUAAGCACCGGCUAACUACGUGCCAGCAGCCGCGGUAAUACGUAGGGUGCAAGCGUUAAUCGGAAUUACUGGGCGUAAAGCGUGCGCAGGCGGUUUGCUAAGACCGAUGUGAAAUCCCCGGGCUCAACCCGGGAACUGCAUUGGUGACUGGCAGGCUAGAGUAUGGCAGAGGGGGGUAGAAUUCCACGUGUAGCAGUGAAAUGCGUAGAGAUGUGGAGGAAUACCGAUGGCGAAGGCAGCCCCCUGGGCCAAUACUGACGCUCAUGCACGAAAGCGUGGGGGAGCAAACAGGAUUAGAUACCCUGGUAGUCCACGCCCUAAACGAUGUCAACUAGUUGUUGGGGAUUCAUUUCCUUAGUAACGUAGCUAACGCGUGAAGUUGACCGCCUGGGGAGUACGGUCGCAAGAUUAAAACUC